Molecule: ribosomal RNA, 253 nt
Filed under: uncultured bacterium
Lineage: Bacteria
Description: partial 16S ribosomal RNA
Rfam family: Bacterial small subunit ribosomal RNA
Source: RNAcentral
UACGGAGGGGGCUAGCGUUGUUCGGAAUUACUGGGCGUAAAGCGUGCGCAGGCGGUUUUGUAAGUCAGAUGUGAAAUCCCCGGGCUUAACCUGGGAAUGGCAUUUGGGACUGCAAGGCUUGAGUGCGGCAGAGGAGACUGGAAUUCCUGGUGUAGCAGUGAAAUGCGUAGAUAUCAGGAGGAACACCGAUGGCGAAGGCAGGUCUCUGGGCUGACACUGACGCUCAUGCACGAAAGCGUGGGGAGCAAACAGG